UUAGAAUAAAUUAUUUAGGUUGGUGCAAAAGUAAUUGUAGUUUUUGCCAUAUUUUUAAUCAAAUGGCAAAAGCUUUUUGCACUAACCUAAUAUGGGAAAAU
Molecule: microRNA precursor, 101 nt
Filed under: Chlorocebus sabaeus (green monkey)
Lineage: Eukaryota; Metazoa; Chordata; Mammalia; Primates; Cercopithecidae
Description: miRNA (ENSCSAG00000022381.1)
Source: RNAcentral